RNAcentral lists this ribosomal RNA (230 nucleotides) under Clostridioides difficile. Its description in RNAcentral is "partial 23S ribosomal RNA". It matches the Rfam family "Bacterial large subunit ribosomal RNA", at positions 2693 to 2925 of the family's 2925-position model. Lineage: Bacteria; Bacillati; Bacillota; Clostridia; Peptostreptococcales; Peptostreptococcaceae. The record is from RNAcentral.
CGGGAUGGACGUACCUCUGGUGUACCAGUGGUCCUGCCAAGGGCAUGGCUGGGUAGCUAUGUACGGAAUGGAUAAGCGCUGAAAGCAUCUAAGCGCGAAGCCAACUUCAAGAUAAGAUUUCCCACCGAAAGGGUAAGACCCCAGAAAGACUAUCUGGUUGAUAGGUCGAAGGUGUAAGUGUAGCAAUGUAUUUAGCUUAUCGAUACUAAUAGGUCGAGGACUUGACCAAU